GUUUCCUCAGUCCUCAGGACCUCCACACUGAAAAUCUGCUUCAAGUGAUGUCAUUAGAGUCAGCAUCAGUCAGGCUUAAGUUUGAAGAGCCAGCCACCGUGGCACACAAAUCGUAAUCAAGGCCAGCAGUAGUGCAGACGGAGCCGGGUGGCUGUUGACUGCAGGAUUUAGGAACUCGGCUGUGCCUUCCCGCUGCUGCUGGCAAGAGAUUUCUGCCAGGCUCUGGUGUACAGAACAAGGACUAAUCUGGAGUGGUCUGUCGCCGCUCAAAGGAACCGGCCCUGAAGUCAUGCAUCAUGGGAGGAGAGGGGAUCAUUUGCUCACUAAUUUCUACACUCAUUCCCUGACUAACACUUCUUGAUUUACCCCAAUCAGAGAGAAUUUCUCCAGCUAAGAUUUUCACCACUGCACAGCCAUCACAUUAUGUUAUCAUUGCAAUCAAAACUGAUUUUCUAAAUCAGCUGCUGCAUUAGCAGAGUUGUUGAGAGAUUUUAGAUUUAAAGUUUGAUGCACAGAUUCUGCUUUUAAAUGCACUUGACUAGAGUUUGUAAGCCAAGUCUCUAUAGUCUGAAUAUAUGCUCAUCAAUAUUCAUGAGUAGUGGGCAGACCUCAACAUUGACAAAGAAUGUGGGAAAAUGCCUCGAUUCACACAUUGUGAAUAUCAAUGAAACGGUUGGCCCCUUUUUUGAAACCACACGAUUGCAGUUGUUUUUUGAAACUUAGAACGCAGGCGAUGCAGAACUAAAGUGUUCUUGCAUCUUUACAAAAGGAUUACAGCAAAUGUGAAACACAAAAUAAAUACUGGUUAAAAAUG
Notolabrus celidotus (New Zealand spotty) is the source of this 814-nucleotide long non-coding RNA. RefSeq lists it as uncharacterized. The transcript has 2 exons. The record is from RefSeq and is a predicted model, not a curated record. Lineage: Eukaryota; Metazoa; Chordata; Actinopteri; Labriformes; Labridae.